RNAcentral lists this non-coding RNA (22 nucleotides) under Arabidopsis thaliana (thale cress). The record is from RNAcentral. Lineage: Eukaryota; Viridiplantae; Streptophyta; Magnoliopsida; Brassicales; Brassicaceae.
CAUUGGAACAAGGGAGCUUCCA